Sparus aurata (gilthead seabream) is the source of this 1554-nucleotide long non-coding RNA. The record is from Ensembl. Lineage: Eukaryota; Metazoa; Chordata; Actinopteri; Spariformes; Sparidae.
UUUAUUUGUUGGUAUUUACCUUUAGUUUAGUUGUAGUUCGUCAUGAUGUCCCGUCGCCUGUCCGCCGCCCAAGAGACAGAAAGUGAAAGUGUUUGAUUCACUGUCAUCACUUCCUCUCAGUAAACAGACACAUGAACGGUCUGAAUUCUACUUUAUCACUUUGUUUAACAUCAUUAUUAUAUGAACAAGGCUAACCUGGUUACUACACAUAACAGCUACUUCAUCCUGUUGGUGACAAAGUGUUUGCAGUAACAUUGAUCUUCUGUUUGUUCUGAUCAGGGUCCGUUUCUUUGGGUCGGGCGCCAUCUUGUGGAGCCCCUGCAGACUUGAGUGGUGAACCCCAAAGUUCAUGAGCAGUCAGACGGAACAUGUCGGUCUGUAACAAACUCCGUCAAAGUCCGUCAAUAUCUUCAUUUGGAGGAGGAUGCUCACUUAUGACGGAGAGAGGAGGUGAGCUGGUAGUGACAGAACAAACACCCGCCAUGGGAAGAGACGGUAAGUUUAACAUUUUGUACUGUCAUUAAAAACACUAUAUAUUGAUUACAACUAUGUAUGAUAUUGUAGGAUUGUAUUCUAAGCAGAGAAGUUAUUUCAGGGCUUGACUUUAACUUAAAGGAGCACAUGAAGAGAUUUAGUGACACAAUGAAAAUACAUGUUUUAUGAGAAAAUAUUCACAAGCAAUACAAUAUAAUUAAUAUUUUUGAAUUGAAAAAGUGCAUUUCUCAAUGUUCAAACCGUGUUCAGUAAUUAUGUCAUUAUUUUUACAUUAAUCCUCAUGCAACAGUUGAAACAUUUAGUGUUUUGGCCAAAUACAUGCUAUUUCCCUUGUGUAUUGUGAGGCUUUGCCUCAUAAUGAAACUUAACCCUCUGAUAGAAGAUCACAUUUAGAACAAAGAAUGUUCCAUGUGAAAACUGCCAUAGAAUUACUAUGAAAUAAAUGUAUUGAAAAAUGACAAUUUUAUUGUGUGUGUAAAAAAUGUAAACAAACUGAUAUUUAAUGUGUUAAAAUCCUGAAAAUGAAUGAAUAUUUGGUUAUUAUCUGGACUGAAUUUUUUUUUUUUUGUCCUAAAUGUGAGCCAUACAUUUGAAAAAAUUUUUAUUUCAUUGUAUCAGCUGCAUUAGAGUUGAACUAGUGGUCGACUGAUAUCUCUCUUUUAGAGCCAAACUGAUUAUUAGUAAUCAAGGAGACUGAAAACUGAUAUUUGGGAUCGAUAUUCAUUUACAGUAAAAAUAAAAAUCGCGGUGUCACCAACUACUGAUGAAUAAACCUAAGUCCAGUUUACUCAAGUACUGUUCUUCAGUACAUUUACAGGGACCUGAGUAUUUCCUUUUUCCUUUACAUUUAUUAAAAACAUUUAGUCACUAGCUACUUUGCAGAUUCAGAUCAUUCAGUGUUUAUAGGCUGUUAACUAUGACGUGUUACCAAUCAGAUGGUGUUGUGGGCGGGACGUUCUGUGAGAGGAUGAUGCAUCAGAGCCAAAGUGGCACAUUUUUAAUUUAUUUAUUUUAUCAUCUCACAGAAAAAUCACUGAUAGUGAUCAUUGUAAAAUCGGU